AAUGUAUGACGCCGUUGACUUUUUGUCCAACGUUUGACCAUUCGUCUUAUUCAAAAAAUUUAUGUAAUUAUCAAUUAUUUUAUUACGACUUGAUUCGUCAUCAAAUGUUCUUUAAGCAUGAUAUAAAUAGUUUCAUAUUUACACAAAAAUUUUGAAUAAAACGAAUGGUCAAACGUUGGUUGAGAAGUCAACGGCGUCACACAUU
Oryza barthii is the source of this 205-nucleotide non-coding RNA. Lineage: Eukaryota; Viridiplantae; Streptophyta; Magnoliopsida; Poales; Poaceae. The record is from Rfam.